Molecule: ribosomal RNA, 253 nt
Filed under: uncultured bacterium
Lineage: Bacteria
Description: partial 16S ribosomal RNA
Rfam family: Bacterial small subunit ribosomal RNA
Source: RNAcentral
UACGGAGGGUGCGAGCGUUAAUCGGAAUUACUGGGCGUAAAGCGCGCGUAGGCGGUGAUUUAAGUCAGAUGUGAAAGCCCCGGGCUCAACCUGGGAACUGCAUUUGAUACUGGGUCACUAGAGUACGAGAGAGGGGGGUAGAAUUCCACGUGUAGCGGUGAAAUGCGUAGAUAUUAGAAGGAAUACCAGUGGCGAAGGCGGCCCCCUGGCUCGAUACUGACGCUCAUGUACGAAAGCGUGGGUAGCAAACAGG